RNAcentral lists this ribosomal RNA (381 nucleotides) under uncultured bacterium. RNAcentral describes it as "bacterial SSU rRNA". It matches the Rfam family "Bacterial small subunit ribosomal RNA", at positions 28 to 402 of the family's 1533-position model. The record is from RNAcentral.
GACGAACGCUGGCGGCGUGCCUAACACAUGCAAGUGGAGCGACGAACCGGGCUUCGGCCCGGGGCCAAGCCGCGAACGGGUGAGUAACACGUGGGUAACCUGCCCUGAUGAUUGGGACAACCCGAGGAAACUCGGGCUAAUACCGAAUGUGCCCUCCGACCAUAAGGUCUGCGGGGAAAGGAAGCUUCGGCCUCCGCAUCGGGAUGGGCCCGCGGCGCAUUAGCUUGUUGGUGAGGUAACGGCUCACCAAGGCGACGAUGCGUAGCUGGUCUGAGAGGACGAUCAGCCACACUGGGACUGAGACACGGCCCAGACUCCUACGGGAGGCAGCAGUGGGGAAUCUUGCGCAAUGCGCGAAAGCGUGACGCAGCAACGCCGCGU